This 492-nucleotide ribosomal RNA is filed under the name uncultured bacterium. RNAcentral describes it as "partial 16S ribosomal RNA". It matches the Rfam family "Bacterial small subunit ribosomal RNA", at positions 29 to 507 of the family's 1533-position model. The record is from RNAcentral.
AGUGAACGCUGGCGGUAGGCCUAACACAUGCAAGUCGAACGGCAGCACAGUAAGAGCUUGCUCUUACGGGUGGCGAGUGGCGGACGGGUGAGGAAUACAUCGGAAGCUACUUUUUCGUGGGGGAUAACGUAGGGAAACUUACGCUAAUACCGCAUACGACCUACGGGUGAAAGCAGGGGAUCUUCGGACCUUGCGCGAUUGAAUGAGCCGAUGUCGGAUUAGCUAGUUGGCGUGGUAAAGGCCCACCAAGGCGACGAUCCGUAGCUGGUCUGAGAGGAUGAUCAGCCACACUGGAACUGAGACACGGUCCAGACUCCUACGGGAGGCAGCAGUGGGGAAUAUUGGACAAUGGGCGCAAGCCUGAUCCAGCCAUACCGCGUGGGUGAAGAAGGCCUUCGGGUUGUAAAGCCCUUUUGUUGGGAAAGAAAAGCAGCAGGUUAAUACCCCGCUGUUCUGACGGUACCCAAAGAAUAAGCACCGGCUAACUUCGUG